Molecule: ribosomal RNA, 169 nt
Filed under: Trichonotus setiger
Lineage: Eukaryota; Metazoa; Chordata; Actinopteri; Gobiiformes; Trichonotidae
Description: partial 12S rRNA
Source: RNAcentral
AACCGCGGUUAUACGAGAGGCCCAAGUUGAUAGACAACGGCGUAAAGAGUGGUUAGGAUAGGACUGUACUAGGGUCGAAUACCUCCACCGCUGUAUAAAGCCUAUAGAGGUAAGAAGUACACCUGCGAAAGUGACCCUAAGAACAUUUUAACCCACGAAAGCUAGGACA